AAACAGUACCAUCUGAUGGACGUGAGAGCAACAGAUGCUGUAAUCUCCGAAAGUUCUUCAUCGAUUGCUUUGAAAUUCUGACACAAAGUUCCAUUCGAAUACACGCAUUUUUGUUAUAUACCAACUAUAUAGAUGCCACAUCUGUGACAGGCAUCUUGGCCAAUAGAAAGGCAUAGACAGUGACAUCCCCUUUGACUGGAAACCUGUGUGUCUUAUCCAGCUCUAGGCACAAUGAUCGUCCUACAGCUUCAUUGAGCUUGGCAAUCUCCUCAGUACCACGAAGACCUGGCCGAUCUACGAGCAAAAAAGUAUUUUGUCUGAGAAAAAAAAUCAUAAAAAAGACGUUAGAAGAAGACCUGAAUGGUUACUGGCUUGUCUACUAUAUCCUGAUUUAAGAGAGAGGCAAAUGAAAAUAAAUACAGAAAAUUAAGAUUUAUGAGAAGUAAGCAAGGAAUUUACUGUCAAAAAAUGUGAUCAAAGUUAAUUUCACAAUAAACACUGUCACCCUAACUCAGA
This is a long non-coding RNA of Procambarus clarkii (red swamp crayfish), 516 nucleotides long. RefSeq lists it as uncharacterized. The record is from RefSeq and is a predicted model, not a curated record. NCBI's taxonomy places the organism in Eukaryota, Metazoa, Arthropoda, Malacostraca, Decapoda, Cambaridae.